This 492-nucleotide ribosomal RNA is filed under the name uncultured bacterium. RNAcentral's name for it is "partial 16S ribosomal RNA". It matches the Rfam family "Bacterial small subunit ribosomal RNA", at positions 29 to 507 of the family's 1533-position model. The record is from RNAcentral.
AGUGAACGCUGGCGGUAGGCCUAACACAUGCAAGUCGAACGGCAGCACAGUAAGAGCUUGCUCUUACGGGUGGCGAGUGGCGGACGGGUGAGGAAUACAUCGGAAUCUACUUUUUCGUGGGGGAUAACGUAGGGAAACUUACGCUAAUACCGCAUACGACCUACGGGUGAAAGCAGGGGAUCUUCGGACCUUGCGCGAUUGAAUGAGCCGAUGUCGGAUUAGCUAGUUGGCGGGGUAAAGGCCCACCAAGGCGACGAUCCGUAGCUGGUCUGAGAGGAUGAUCAGCCACACUGGAACUGAGACACGGUCCAGACUCCUACGGGAGGCAGCAGUGGGGAAUAUUGGACAAUGGGCGCAAGCCUGAUCCAGCCAUACCGCGUGGGUGAAGAAGGCCUUCGGGUUGUAAAGACCCUUUGUUGGGAAAGAAAAGCAGCAGGUUAAUACCCCGCUGUUCUGACGGUACCCAAAGAAUAAGCACCGGCUAACUUCGUG